RNAcentral lists this ribosomal RNA (610 nucleotides) under Glomus sp. ZJ. RNAcentral's name for it is "SSU rRNA". It matches the Rfam family "Eukaryotic small subunit ribosomal RNA", at positions 643 to 1255 of the family's 1831-position model. Lineage: Eukaryota; Fungi; Glomeromycota; Glomeromycetes; Glomerales; Glomeraceae. The record is from RNAcentral.
GGAUCAAUACGUCGGUCGUGCCUUUGGUACGUACUAAUGUCAUUGAUUUCUCCCUUCUGAUGAAUCAUGAUGUCAUUAAUUUGAUGUUGUGGGGAGUCAGGACUGUUACUUUGAAAAAAUUAGAGUGUUUAAAGCAGGCACGCGCUUGAAUACAUUAGCAUGGAAUAAUGAAAUAGGACGUUCGAUUCUAUUUUGUUGGUUUCUAGGAUCAACGUAAUGAUUAAUAGGGAUAGUUGGGGGCAUUAGUAUUCAAUUGUCAGAGGUGAAAUUCUUGGAUUUAUUGAAGACUAACUACUGCGAAAGCAUUUGCCAAGGAUGUUUUCAUUAAUCAAGAACGAAAGUUAGGGGAUCGAAGACGAUCAGAUACCGUCGUAGUCUUAACCAUAAACUAUGCCGACUAGGGAUCGGAUGAUGUUAAUUUUUUAAUGACUCAUUCGGCGCCUUACGGGAAACCAAAGUGUUUGGGUUCCGGGGGGAGUAUGGUCGCAAGGCUGAAACUUAAAGGAAUUGACGGAAGGGCACCACCAGGGGUGGAGCCUGCGGCUUAAUUUGACUCAACACGGGGAAACUCACCAGGUCCAGACAUAGUAAGGAUUGACAGAUUGAGAGC